CACGUAGGGCGCAAGCGUUGUCCGGAAUUAUUGGGCGUAAAGAGCUCGUAGGUGGUUCGGUAAGUCAGGUGUGAAACCUCCAGGCUCAACCUGGAGACGCCACUUGAUACUGCUGUGACUGGAGUCCGGUAGGGGAGCGUGGAAUUCCUGGUGUAGCGGUGAAAUGCGCAGAUAUCAGGAGGAACACCAGCGGCGAAGGCGGCGCUCUGGGCCGGUACUGACACUGAGGAGCGAAAGCGUGGGUAGCAAACAGG
This 254-nucleotide ribosomal RNA is filed under the name uncultured bacterium. Its description in RNAcentral is "partial 16S ribosomal RNA". It matches the Rfam family "Bacterial small subunit ribosomal RNA", at positions 524 to 776 of the family's 1533-position model. The record is from RNAcentral.